AUUUCGCUCACGUGGAUAUAUCUCCGAUUUACGAUUACAAUUUACAAAUCUCAUUGGUCCACUCUAACCAGGCGGAAAA
Long non-coding RNA from Bombus impatiens (common eastern bumble bee), 79 nucleotides. RefSeq lists it as uncharacterized. The record is from RefSeq and is a predicted model, not a curated record. NCBI's taxonomy places the organism in Eukaryota, Metazoa, Arthropoda, Insecta, Hymenoptera, Apidae. The transcript is spliced from 3 exons.